AAAUUGAAGAGUUUGAUCAUGGCUCAGAUUGAACGCUGGCGGCAGGCCUAACACAUGCAAGUCGAGCGGCAGCGGGAAAGUAGCUUGCUACUUUUGCCGGCGAGCGGCGGACGGGUGAGUAAUGCCUGGGGAUCUGCCCAGUCGAGGGGGAUAACUACUGGAAACGGUAGCUAAUACCGCAUACGCCCUACGGGGGAAAGCAGGGGACCUUCGGGCCUUGCGCGAUUGGAUGAACCCAGGUGGGAUUAGCUAGUUGGUGAGGUAAUGGCUCACCAAGGCGACGAUCCCUAGCUGGUCUGAGAGGAUGAUCAGCCACACUGGAACUGAGACACGGUCCAGACUCCUACGGGAGGCAGCAGUGGGGAAUAUUGCACAAUGGGGGAAACCCUGAUGCAGCCAUGCCGCGUGUGUGAAGAAGGCCUUC
This 424-nucleotide ribosomal RNA is filed under the name Aeromonas veronii. RNAcentral describes it as "bacterial SSU rRNA". It matches the Rfam family "Bacterial small subunit ribosomal RNA", at positions 1 to 419 of the family's 1533-position model. Lineage: Bacteria; Pseudomonadati; Pseudomonadota; Gammaproteobacteria; Aeromonadales; Aeromonadaceae. The record is from RNAcentral.